ACGGGUGCGUAACGCGUAUGCAAUCUACCUUUGCAGAGGGAUAGCCCAGAGAAAUUUGGAUUAAUACCUCAUAGUAUAGUACUUUGGCAUCAAGGAACUAUUAAAGUCACAACGGCAAAAGAUGAGCAUGCGUCCCAUUAGCUAGUUGGUAAGGUAACGGCUUACCAAGGCUACGAUGGGUAGGGGUCCUGAGAGGGAGAUCCCCCCACACUGGUACUGAGACACGGACCAGACUCCUACGGGAGGCAGCAGUGAGGAAUAUUGGACAAUGGGCGCAAGCCUGAUCCAGCCAUGCCGCGUGCAGGAUGACGGUCCUAUGGAUUGUAAACUGCUUUUAUACAGGAAGAAACACUCCGACGUGUCGGAGCUUGACGGUACUGUAAGAAUAAGGAUCGGCUAACUCCGUG
This 407-nucleotide ribosomal RNA is filed under the name uncultured bacterium. Its description in RNAcentral is "bacterial SSU rRNA". It matches the Rfam family "Bacterial small subunit ribosomal RNA", at positions 102 to 507 of the family's 1533-position model. The record is from RNAcentral.